This 21-nucleotide microRNA is filed under the name Ixodes ricinus (castor bean tick). Its description in RNAcentral is "iri-miR-X16-3-3p". Lineage: Eukaryota; Metazoa; Arthropoda; Arachnida; Ixodida; Ixodidae. The record is from RNAcentral.
AAGUAUGGUUCGGCGUCUCGC